RNAcentral lists this long non-coding RNA (782 nucleotides) under Helianthus annuus (common sunflower). Lineage: Eukaryota; Viridiplantae; Streptophyta; Magnoliopsida; Asterales; Asteraceae. The record is from RNAcentral.
UUUUUUACUUGCUUCUCUUGUUAAGUUUCUGACGCAACCGAAAUCCACAAAUUCAAACAGUUUCUCCGUCGCUAAUUUCUCGACUCACCGUGAAAUCGAACAGUUUCUUCGUAGAUUCCGUCCGGUUUCAAAGCCCGAAAUAACUAAAAUAACUUGAAUCGUCUCGGAAGUACUGAACAACAGAAGGAUGAGAUAUCGGCGGUUAGCUCGAAGAAGUUUCUCUCAAACAGGUGUUCCAUUAGAUUUCCCCUUUUAUCAUCUGUCAUACGUUACGAGAUUCUUCGAGAAUUAGAAAAGGAGAAAAUACAGAACGACAAGGGUAGUAUGAGUCCGAGUCCAUUGUGGUUCGUGUCAGGUUUGUAUUUCCCAUAGCCAUCGUUUCCGUAGUAAAAAACGGUUGCGGUUUUGCACAUUCAAUCUUCAUUGCUUCAUUAUAAUUAAUAAUGUGGUCUCGAUUGAAGAUGUAAUUGCAAGACUGUUUGUCGGAUUAUUGUACCAAGAAAGUCAUUGGACUACCGCAGAUGAAGUCAAAUGUGAUCAAACUUGGACAUCAGUCACGUAAAUCUUGAAGAAACAGAACAUAAUCCCAGAUUGUCUAAAGAAGCGCUUUUAUCAUGUGUGAUCCAAAGAAGACGUAUCGGGUGUGUUGUAGUUUGGAAAGAUGACCGAAUGCGGUGUGUACGUUAAAUACCGUUUACCGCUUUUUUAGUUGCUUCUCUUGUUAAGUUUCUGAACCAACCGAAAUCCACAAAUACAAACAGUUUCUCCGUCGCUAAUUUCUC